UACAGAGGUCCCGAGCGUUGUUCGGAUUCACUGGGCGUAAAGGGUGUGUAGGAGGUUGGGUAAGUCGGGCGUGAAAUCUCACCGCUUAACGGUGAAACUGCGUUCGAUACUACUCAGCUAGAAGAUCAGAGAGGAGAGCGGAAUUCCUGGUGUAGCGGUGAAAUGCGUAGAUAUCAGGAGGAACACCUGCGGCGAAAGCGGCUCUCUGGAGGAUCCUUGACUCUGAAACACGAAAGCUAGGGGAGCAAACGGG
This 253-nucleotide ribosomal RNA is filed under the name uncultured bacterium. RNAcentral's name for it is "partial 16S ribosomal RNA". It matches the Rfam family "Bacterial small subunit ribosomal RNA", at positions 524 to 776 of the family's 1533-position model. The record is from RNAcentral.